Molecule: ribosomal RNA, 253 nt
Filed under: uncultured bacterium
Lineage: Bacteria
Description: partial 16S ribosomal RNA
Rfam family: Bacterial small subunit ribosomal RNA
Source: RNAcentral
UACGUAGGGACCGAGCGUUGUCCGGAAUCAUUGGGCGUAAAGGGCGCGUAGGCUGCGGGGCAAGUCGGGUGUGAAAUCUCAGAGCUCAACUCUGAAACUGCACUCGAUACUGCUUUGCUUGAGGACUGGAGAGGAGAUUGGAAUUUACGGUGUAGCGGUGAAAUGCGUAGAUAUCGUAAGGAAGACCAGUGGCGAAGGCGGGUCUCUGGACAGUUCCUGACGCUGAGGCACGAAGGCCAGGGGAGCAAACGGG